ACUUUCCUUCGGGGUCGGGUGAAAUUCCCAACCGGCGGUGAUCAGGAGGCUGUCUAAGCGCUUUGAACGAUGAAGCGACAUAGCUGCUGCCUGUCAGUCCGUGACCCGUGUACAUUCCAUUCAGAGCGUGUGAACGCAUGAGCGGUUUGUAUACGGCUGACCUGGUGCAAUUCCGGGACCGACAGUACAGUCUGGAUGGGAGAAGGAGACA
This 211-nucleotide non-coding RNA is filed under the name Paenibacillus sp. RNAcentral describes it as "FMN sequence". It matches the Rfam family "FMN riboswitch aptamer (RFN element)". From Rfam's summary of the family: The RFN element is a highly conserved domain that is found frequently in the 5'-untranslated regions of prokaryotic mRNAs that encode for flavin mononucleotide (FMN) biosynthesis and transport proteins. This element is a metabolite-dependent riboswitch that directly binds FMN in the absence of proteins. Lineage: Bacteria; Bacillati; Bacillota; Bacilli; Caryophanales; Paenibacillaceae. RNAcentral also lists the same sequence under 1 other name. The record is from RNAcentral.